This 264-nucleotide long non-coding RNA is filed under the name Populus tremula. RNAcentral describes it as "long non-coding RNA (PTRE_LNC000752)". Lineage: Eukaryota; Viridiplantae; Streptophyta; Magnoliopsida; Malpighiales; Salicaceae. The record is from RNAcentral.
ACCUCGUUUGGUAUUUUUUUGAUUGAAGACCUUGACAAAUUCAAUGACCUGAUGCAUGUCAACUGCUUGAAUAAAUCAGGUAGUGCAACUCCAAGCGAAGGGUCUCUAGUGUCGAUCAAGAGGCUGCGAAGACCUUUUGCUUUGUGAAUGGACACGGGAAAAGAGGUCUCUUUUGACAGCAUCAUGCUUAAAUGACGAACCCUUUCAAUUGAAGUCUCCACUGUUGCUUCUCGAAGGUUUUUGACAUCCACUGUUAGACAUUCA